CNNNCUCCUGGAAUGGAUUCUCGCUGAAAGGACGUUUAGACCAUGCUUCUAGGCGUCGCCCAAGGAGGGGGCCGCGACCGAUCAGGUUGUUGGUGAGGUAACGGCUUACCAAGCCUUUAACCGGUACGGGCCGUGAGAGCGGAAGCCCGGAGAUGGGCACUGAGACAAGGGCCCAGGCCCUACGGGGCGCAGCAGUCGCGAAAACUCCGCAAUACACGAAAGUGUGACGGGACUAUCCCGAGUGCCAUCCGCUGAGGAUGNNUUUUCCCCAGUGUAUAAAGCUGGGGGAAUAAGGAGAGGGCAAGCCUGGUGUCAGCCGCCGCGGUAAUACCNGCUCUCCGAGUGGUGNGGAUGUUUAUUGNGCCUAAAGCAUUCGUAGCCUGCUUGNCAAGUCCUCCGUUAAAUCCAACGAUUCANUCGUUGGGCUGCGGGGGAUNCUGUCCGGCUAGGGGGCGGGAGAGGCCGACGGUAUCCCCGGGGUAGGGGUGAAAUCCUAUAAUCCCGGGAGGACCACCAGUGGCGAAGGCUGUCGGCUAGAACGUGCUCGACGGUGAGGGAUGAAAGCUGGGGGAGCGAACCGGAUUAGAUACCCGGGUAGUCCCAGCUGUAAACGAUGCAGGCUAGGUGUUGGCGCGGCUACGUGCCGCUCCAGUGCCGCAGGGAAGCCGUUAAGCCUGCCGCCUGGGAAGUACGGCCGCAAGGNUGAAACUUAAAGGAAUUGGCGGGGGAGCACCACAAGGUGUGAAGCUUGCGGUUUAAUUGGAGUCAACGCCGGNNNCUCACCGGGGGCGACAGCAGAAUGAAGGUCAGAUUGAGGGUCUUACCAGACAAGCUGAGAGGAGGUGCAUGGCCGUCGCCAGUUCGUGCCGUGAGGUGUCCUGUUAAGUCAGGCAACGAUCGAGACCCGCGUCCCCUGUUGCCACCGGCCUUGAGCCGAGCACACUGGGGAGACUGCCGUCGAUAAGGCGGAGGAAGGAGCGGGCCACGGCAGGUCAGUAUGCCCCGAAUCCCCCGGGCUACACGCGAGCUGCAAUGGCAGGUACAGAGGGUCCCGACUCUGAAAAGANAAGGAAAUCCCGAAAGCCUGCCGUANUUGGNAUCGAGGGUNGUAACNCNCCCNCNNGAACNUGGAAUACCUAGUAACCNGCGNGUCACUACCGCNNGGNGAANACGUCCNUGCUCCUUGNACNCACCGCCCGUCGUUCCAUCCAAGCGAUGCUNGNNGAGGCGUGNNCNUUNGGGCUGCGUCGAAUCCGGGUUUCGUGAGGAGGGAAAAGUC
This 1279-nucleotide ribosomal RNA is filed under the name uncultured archaeon. RNAcentral describes it as "partial 16S ribosomal RNA". It matches the Rfam family "Archaeal small subunit ribosomal RNA", at positions 163 to 1434 of the family's 1478-position model. The record is from RNAcentral.